This 301-nucleotide ribosomal RNA is filed under the name uncultured bacterium. RNAcentral's name for it is "partial 16S ribosomal RNA". It matches the Rfam family "Bacterial small subunit ribosomal RNA", at positions 509 to 807 of the family's 1533-position model. The record is from RNAcentral.
CAGCAGCCGCGGGAAUACGAAGGGGGCUAGCGUUGCUCGGAAUGACUGGGCGUAAAGGGCGCGUAGGCGGCGGCCAAAGUCAGGCGUGAAAUUCCUGGGCUCAACCUGGGGGCUGCGCUUGAUACUUGGUUGCUUGAGUGGGGAAGAGGGUCGUGGAAUUCCCAGUGUAGAGGUGAAAUUCGUAGAUAUUGGGAAGAACACCGGUGGCGAAGGCGGCGACCUGGUCCUUGACUGACGCUGAGGCGCGAAAACGUGAGGAGCAAACAGGAUUAGAUACCCGCGUAGUCCCUGUCUCUUAUAC